Molecule: ribosomal RNA, 429 nt
Filed under: Acidobacteriota bacterium
Lineage: Bacteria; Pseudomonadati; Acidobacteriota
Description: Acidobacteria bacterium partial 16S ribosomal RNA
Rfam family: Bacterial small subunit ribosomal RNA
Source: RNAcentral
UGGGGAAUUUUGGUCCAUGGGGGAAACCCUGAUCCAGCCAUCCCGCGGGUGCGAUGAAGGCCUUCGGGUUGUUAAGCACUUUUGGCAGGAAAGAAAAGUCAUGGGUUAAUACCCCGUGAAACUGACGGUACCUGCAGAAUAAGCACCGGCUAACUACGUGCCAGCAGCCGCGGUAAUACGUAGGGUGCAAGCGUUAAUCGGAAUUACUGGGCGUAAAGCGUGCGCAGGCGGUUCGGGAAGAAAGAUGUGAAAUCCCAGAGCUCAACUUUGGAACUGCAUUUUUAACUACCGGGCUAGAGUGUGUCAGAGGGAGGUGGAAUUCCGCGUGUAGCAGUGAAAUGCGUAGAUAUGCGGAGGAACACCGAUGGCGAAGGCAGCCUCCUGGGAUAACACUGACGCUCAUGCACGAAAGCGUGGGGAGCAAACAGG